UACGUAGGGGGCAAGCGUUGUCCGGAAUCAUUGGGCGUAAAGAGCUCGUAGGCGGUCUGUCACGUCUGCUGUGAAAACUCGGGGCUUAACCCCGGGCCUGCAGUGGGUACGGGCAGACUAGAGUGCGGUAGGGGAGACUGGAAUUCCUGGUGUAGCGGUGAAAUGCGCAGAUAUCAGGAGGAACACCGGUGGCGAAGGCGGGUCUCUGGGCCGUAACUGACGCUGAGGAGCGAAAGCGUGGGGAGCGAACAGG
Molecule: ribosomal RNA, 253 nt
Filed under: uncultured bacterium
Lineage: Bacteria
Description: partial 16S ribosomal RNA
Rfam family: Bacterial small subunit ribosomal RNA
Source: RNAcentral